GCGCAGAGCGGGGGGCUAUAAUGCAGUCGACGAGGUGCUUUGUAGCAAUACGAAGUAUCCUAGUGGCGAACGGGUGAGUAACGCGUUGGUGACCUACCCCAAAGUGUGGGAUAACAGUCCGAAAGGAUUGCUAAUACCGCAUGUGGUUAUUGGAUUUAGAAACCGAUAACUAAAGGAGCAAUUCGCUUUGGGAGGGACCUGCGUCCCAUCAGCUAGUUGGCGAGGUAAUGGCUCACCAAGGCGACGACGGGUAGGGGACCUGAGAGGGUGGCCCCCCACAAUGGAACUGAAACACGGUCCAUACACCUACGGGUGGCAGCAGUAGGGAAUAUUGCACAAUGGGCGAAAGCCUGAUGCAGCAACGCCGCGUGCGCGAUGAAGGCCCUCGGGUCGUAAAGCGCUUUUCUGAGAGAUGAGAAAGGACAGUAUCUCAGGAAUAAGUCUCGGCUAACUACGUGCCAGCAGCCGCGGUAAAACGUAGGAGGCGAGCGUUAUCCGGAUUCACUGGGCGUAAAGCGCGUGCAGGCGGCUCGGUAAGUUGGGUAUGAAAUCUCCUGGCUUAACUAGGAGAGGUUAUCCAAUACUACCGGACUAGAGAGUGGUAGAGGAAGAUGGAAUUCCCGGUGUAGUGGUGAAAUGCGUAGAUAUCGGGAGGAACACCAGUGGCGAAAGCGAUCUUCUGGACCAUUUCUGACGCUCAGACGCGAAAGCUAGGGUAGUAAACGGGAUUAGAGACCCCGGUAAUCCUAGCUGUAAACGAUGUAAACUUGGUGUCGGCGGCUUAAACUCUGUCGGUACCGCAGCAAACGCGAUAAGUUUACCGCCUGGGGACUACGAUCGCAAGAUUAAAACUCAAAGGAAUUGACGG
This 868-nucleotide ribosomal RNA is filed under the name uncultured Chloroflexota bacterium. Its description in RNAcentral is "bacterial SSU rRNA". It matches the Rfam family "Bacterial small subunit ribosomal RNA", at positions 33 to 916 of the family's 1533-position model. The record is from RNAcentral. Lineage: Bacteria; Bacillati; Chloroflexota.